This 245-nucleotide ribosomal RNA is filed under the name uncultured bacterium. RNAcentral describes it as "partial 16S ribosomal RNA". It matches the Rfam family "Bacterial small subunit ribosomal RNA", at positions 524 to 768 of the family's 1533-position model. The record is from RNAcentral.
UACAGAGGGUGCAAGCGUUAAUCGGAAUUACUGGGCGUAAAGCGCACGUAGGUGGCUGGGUAAGUUGGAUGUGAAAUCCCCGGGCUUAACUUGGGAAUUGCAUUCAAGACUGCCUUGCUAGAGUGUGGAAGAGGGAAGCGGAAUUCCAGGUGUAGCGGUGAAAUGCGUAGAUAUCUGGAGGAACAUAAGUGGCGAAGGCGGCUUCCUGGUCCAACACUGACACUGAGGUGCGAAAGCGUGGGGAG